The sequence is a small RNA, 289 nucleotides long. It matches the Rfam family "5' ureB small RNA". The record is from Rfam.
CUUCAUCCACCUGUUGCGGUGAGAUGAAAUGGAUAUGCGUGUCGAUACCGCCCGCCGUGAGGAUCUUGCCUUCACCCGCGAUAAUCUCCGUACCGGGGCCGAUGAUGAUCGAAACGCCGGGCUGCGUAUCCGGAUUUCCGGCCUUUCCGAUCACCGCGAUACGCCCGUCGCGAAGCCCCACAUCGGCUUUAUAAAUACCGGUAUGAUCGAGGAUCAGAGCAUUGGUAAUGACUGUAUCCAUCGCACCGUCGGCGCGCGACAUCUGGCUUUGUCCCAUACCGUCGCGGAU